Salvia splendens (bonfire salvia) is the source of this 558-nucleotide long non-coding RNA. RefSeq lists it as uncharacterized. NCBI's taxonomy places the organism in Eukaryota, Viridiplantae, Streptophyta, Magnoliopsida, Lamiales, Lamiaceae. The transcript is spliced from 2 exons. The record is from RefSeq and is a predicted model, not a curated record.
CCUUCCGCCUCCAUCUCUAUCACCACUCUCUAACCUUAAAACUCUCCACCUCCAAAGUCCAAAUCGACGGCUAUCCCUUCACCAGUCCAGGUCGUCGCCUCCGCCCUACAACUGUGCUCCAACCCGUUGCCUCCUGUCUCCACGUCGUCGCCCCUCCACCCAACCACCCGUCGUCUCCAACCAUCCAACAGUUGCCUCCGCCCUUCAGCUAUCCACGCCGCUUCCAAGAAGGUGUUGAAUAAUGAAAGUGAAACAGUUGGAGAUGUCCUUGGUACUUGGAAAUUUGAGCAAGUAGAGCUUAUGAAGCUUAAGUUUGUUGAAGGGGGUGUUUUUAACACAUUUCCAUCUAGAAAGGAACUUGCCCAAUACAAUAUCAUGAAAAGAUUGAACAACAUAUUUUAGACUUGAAGAUAUUGAAGAGUGAACAUCUAUGGUGAAAUCAACAUUAGUUAAUCAUGCCGUGGCAUAAUUAUGUACUCCUAUGAAACUUUAUUUUGGUUGAUAUUCAUGUUGUAACCUAAAUAUUGGUUUUUGUUGGUUGAUGGAUGUUAUUUCUUA